Molecule: ribosomal RNA, 1044 nt
Filed under: Metarhizium album
Lineage: Eukaryota; Fungi; Ascomycota; Sordariomycetes; Hypocreales; Clavicipitaceae
Description: SSU rRNA
Rfam family: Eukaryotic small subunit ribosomal RNA
Source: RNAcentral
CUAAGUAUAAGCAAUUAUACAGCGAAACUGCGAAUGGCUCAUUAUAUAAGUUAUCGUUUAUUUGAUAGUACCUUACUACAUGGAUAACCGUGGUAAUUCUAGAGCUAAUACAUGCUAAAAAUCCCGACUUCGGAAGGGAUGUAUUUAUUAGAUUAAAAACCAAUGCCCUCUGGGCUCUCUGGUGAUUCAUAAUAACUUCUCGAAUCGCACGGCCUUGCGCCGGCGAUGGUUCAUUCAAAUUUCUUCCCUAUCAACUUUCGAUGUUUGGGUAGUGGCCAAACAUGGUUGCAACGGGUAACGGAGGGUUAGGGCUCGACCCCGGAGAAGGAGCCUGAGAAACGGCUACUACAUCCAAGGAAGGCAGCAGGCGCGCAAAUUACCCAAUCCCGAUUCGGGGAGGUAGUGACAAUAAAUACUGAUACAGGGCUCUUUUGGGUCUUGUAAUUGGAAUGAGUACAAUUUAAAUCCCUUAACGAGGAACAAUUGGAGGGCAAGUCUGGUGCCAGCAGCCGCGGUAAUUCCAGCUCCAAUAGCGUAUAUUAAAGUUGUUGUGGUUAAAAAGCUCGUAGUUGAACCUUGGGCCUGGCUGGCCGGUCCGCCUCACCGCGUGUACUGGUCCGGCCGGGCCUUUCCCUCUGUAGAACCCCAUGCCCUUCACUGGGCGUGGCGGGGAAACAGGACUUUUACUUUGAAAAAAUUAGAGUGCUCCAGGCAGGCCUAUGCUCGAAUACAUUAGCAUGGAAUAAUAAAAUAGGACGUGCGGUUCUAUUUUGUUGGUUUCUAGGACCGCCGUAAUGAUUAAUAGGGACAGUCGGGGGCAUCAGUAUUCAAUUGUCAGAGGUGAAAUUCUUGGAUUUAUUGAAGACUAACUACUGCGAAAGCAUUUGCCAAGGAUGUUUUCAUUAAUCAGGAACGAAAGUUAGGGGAUCGAAGACGAUCAGAUACCGUCGUAGUCUUAACCAUAAACUAUGCCGACUAGGGAUCGGACGAUGUUAUUUUUUGACUCGUUCGGCACCUUACGAGAAAUCAAAGUGCUUGGGCUCC